GAUGAAGAACGCAGCGAAAUGCGAUAAGUAAUGUGAAUUGCAGAAUUCAGUGAAUCAUCGAAUCUUUGAACGCACAUUGCGCCCCCUGGUAUUCCGGGGGGCAUGCCUGUCCGAGCGUCAUUACAACCCUCAAGCUCAGCUUGGUAUUGGGCCCCGCCGCCCCGGCGGGCCCUAAAGUCAGUGGCGGUGCCGUCCGGCUCCGAGCGUAGUAAUUCUUCUCGCUCUGGAGGUCCGGUCGUGUGCUCGCCAGCAACCCCCAAUUUUUUUCAGGUUGACCUCGGAUCAGGUAGGGAUACCCGCUGAACUUAAGCAUAUCAAUAAGCGGAGGA
Molecule: unclassified non-coding RNA, 329 nt
Filed under: soil metagenome
Description: partial contains 5.8S ribosomal RNA, internal transcribed spacer 2, and large subunit ribosomal RNA
Rfam family: 5.8S ribosomal RNA (bases 1-120)
Source: RNAcentral